GUCUUUUUCCAGAAGUGCAAACAAACUUUUAUAUCAUACACCAAUAGGCACGCCUUCUCUUCUAACCUCUAUUAGUUGAUCUUUUACCCUUCCUUCCCUUCAUUUCCUUCAUUUCUGCUCCUCUGUUUCGUUCUUCGCCUCGUCUUCCUGAGCUUUUUGGACUACCGACGUUGAGUGGACACUAUAUAUUUUUAUCUGCUAAGGCUCAUAAACGGCUCCAGAUGCUUCAUGAAAGACUUCACAGCUAGAAGGAGGAGAACGAAUUCAGAGAACAAAAAAAGGAAAGAGAAGAGACGGACAGGGGACAUGUUCAGGGUUGAAGCUGAAGCUGCUCAGACCCCAUCCUUUCUUUUCUGAUUUUACUUCCUUGGGCUUUUUUCUCUCCCCUUUUACCCCUCGCUCAUUAUCUUUCUCACCCACUCUAUGUUCCCUCACCCCUCACUUUCUUUCCACUCUGUUCGUUUCUCUUCCCUCUAACCCUUCUCUCUUCAUACUCACUCUCUCUCCAUCCAUUUGGUGGAACAGUGCUGCUGAUAAUGCCUGUAAUUGGAGUGACUCACACUUUUCCAGUGUGUUUGGACCAGAUAAAGAAUAUUGUCAGCAUUUUGCCGACAUGGCCUCUGCUGGCAGAAUUAAAUGGACUCUGUUCUGUUCUGUCUGCAGCAAAUUAAAAGCCUCUCAAUUCAUCUGUUCUCGCCCAAGGCUUACAGGGGCCUCCUAUUCACACAAAAACACCGUGGAGAGGGGGAGGAAUAGAAUAAGAGAGAUUUCCCUCUUCCCCAAGAAGCACAAGUCUUUUGGUUUUGUUUAAAUCGGCACUCGGCCACUGUUAGAUGGAGACGGAGAAGGAAAGAGAGGUCAAGACUUAUAUUCUAAGAAGAUUUGAAGAGCAGCUCAGAAGGUAGUCAGAUUCAUUAUGUAGCAUGUCAGCUUGCAGCUGCCCGUCUUUGUGCUUUACCAUUUCCAAGUAAGAAAAAAAGCUAUUCUGUAUUUGUGUGCACAUGUAAAUGAGCGUGCUUUCAUGCAUUGACACAACAGCGUUAAAGUGUGAAUCUGAGUGUUUUUGGCUGCUAAGUUAUGGUAGUCACUGCCAGUCAACACUUAGGAAUAAGUAGCAGCAGAUGGGCAGGAAAAAUACAAAAUGCUGGGGCCAGAGGGGCCUGUCAGUCCUAAGAAGGGCAGCUGGAAUUAGCAUUAAAAAGAAAUUAAUACAACCUUGGUCUUGUUAGUUUUAGCUUCUGUUCGUGCUCGUAAUAAUAACACUGGAACCCUCAAGUUAAUUGCUGGGAUAUCAGAUAAUUGCUGUCAGGAUACAGAAUGCAUAAAUAUUUAAAAAAUUGACCUGUUAGAAAAGAUAAAGUGAGCAAAUUGUCUGUCAUAAUUCUCUAUCACUGUUUCGACUUCCUGGUUCAGCUCUGAAUUACUGUAGGGUGCUUUGGCAAUGUUUCAACCCGUGCAUAUUAUUUUCAAGCUAAUAAAAACACUUUGGAAGCUUUAGCAGAACUAUGAAGAAGUAAAGCAAAUGUUGUGAAUUAUAAUUGUUUUAGCUUUUGUUGUUCAGCAAGUAUGGGUCCACUUACGUUCAUUAAAUCAUUCAUAGCUGUAAACAAGGUUAACCAUGACUCUGUGUUCCCCUGCUGUUAUUUCCUGUUACUUUUGGUUCAGACUCAAAGUGAGAAAUAAAAUCCCCAGUGAGUCUUUUUCUUUCCUCUCACCAGCAGCAUUGUGUCAUUGUCAUAGAAGUAGCGAGAGCACCGCUAGUGCCGCUCUACUGUUCUAUCUUUGCGGCAUGUGGUAU
Oreochromis aureus is the source of this 1798-nucleotide long non-coding RNA. Lineage: Eukaryota; Metazoa; Chordata; Actinopteri; Cichliformes; Cichlidae. The record is from Ensembl.